AUGGCGACCGGCGCACGGGUGAGUAACACGUAUCCAACCUGCCGACGACUCGGGGAUAGCCUUUCGAAAGAAAGAUUAAUACCCGAUGGCAUAGUUCUUCCGCAUGGUAGAACUAUUAAAGAAUUUCGGUCAUCGAUGGGGAUGCGUUCCAUUAGCUUGUUGGCGGGGUAACGGCCCACCAAGGCAUCGAUGGAUAGGGGUUCUGAGAGGAAGGUCCCCCACAUUGGAACUGAGACACGGUCCAAACUCCUACGGAAGGCAGCAG
RNAcentral lists this ribosomal RNA (265 nucleotides) under uncultured bacterium. Its description in RNAcentral is "partial 16S ribosomal RNA". It matches the Rfam family "Bacterial small subunit ribosomal RNA", at positions 88 to 354 of the family's 1533-position model. The record is from RNAcentral.